RNAcentral lists this ribosomal RNA (395 nucleotides) under uncultured bacterium. RNAcentral's name for it is "bacterial SSU rRNA". It matches the Rfam family "Bacterial small subunit ribosomal RNA", at positions 28 to 414 of the family's 1533-position model. The record is from RNAcentral.
GAUGAACGCUGGCGGCGUGCCUAAUACAUGCAAGUCGAACGAGGUGCUUUUGUAGCAAUACGAGAGUAUCCUAGUGGCGAACGGGUGAGUAACGCGUGGAUGACCUGCCCCAAAGUGUGGGAUAACAGUCCGAAAGGAUUGCUAAUACCUCAUGUGGUUAUCGGUUUUAGAAAGCGAUAACUAAAGCAGCAAUGCGCUUUGGGAGGGAUCUGCGUCCCAUCAGCUAGUUGGUGAGGUAACGGCUCACCAAGGCGACGACGGGUAGGGGACCUGAGAGGGUGGCCCCCCCACAAUGGAACUGAAACACGGUCCAUACACCUACGGGUGGCAGCAGUAGGGAAUAUUGCUCAAUGGGCGAAAGCCUGAAGCAGCAACGUCCGCGUGUGCGAUGAAGG